AAGCUGAGAUGAGCAAGAUUGUUUUUGCUCCCCACCUGCUUCACCAGCCGAGCCCCGAAGUAGUUUCCUUCUGGGCGGAGUGAAUUCUCGGUGCUGCCAGGAAAAGGUCCCAGAGGGGCAGGCGGGCUCCCCCUCCCUGCAGGGCUCCAGCCCGGCUCUCUGGCUGGGACGCGUUGCCUUGGCGGUAGCCAUGGGGACCAGAGCUGGCUGGUGCUCCGAUUCACACAAGAUUGCGAAAAUAACUCGGCGGUGCUGAGUUAAAUCGCUUUGUUACAAGUUUUAGGAGGCCUGUACUCUUUACCGUAUUCUGAUGCAGAGUGAAGAAAAUUUGCUCAAGAUUUGGAUGUAAAAGGGAAGCAUCAGAUAUCACUGCCUGCCUAUUGUCCUAAACAACU
Molecule: long non-coding RNA, 395 nt
Filed under: Heterocephalus glaber (naked mole-rat)
Lineage: Eukaryota; Metazoa; Chordata; Mammalia; Rodentia; Bathyergidae
Description: lncRNA (ENSHGLG00000045837.1)
Source: RNAcentral